AAUCACUUGUUCUCCAAAUAAGGACUUGUAUGAAUGGCCACACGAGGGUUUUACUGUCUCUUACUUCCAAUCAGUGAAAUUGACCUUCCCGUGAAGAGGCGGGAAUAAAAAAAUAAGACGAGAAGACCCUAUGGAGCUUUAAUUAACUAUUCCAAAAGUUAAACAAUUCAACCACAAAGGGAUAAAACAUAACUUAACAUGGACUAGCAAUUUCGGUUGGGGUGACCUCGGAGUACAAAAAACCCUCCGAGUGAUUUUAAUCUAGACAAACCAGUCAAAAUAACCAUAACAUCACUUAUUGAUCCAAAACUUUGAUCAACGGAACAAGUUACCCUAGGGAUAACAGCGCAAUCCUAUUCUAGAGUUCCUAUCGACAAUAGGGUUUACGACCUCGAUGUUGGAUCAGGACACCCAAAUGGUGCAACCGCUAUUAAAGGUUCGUUUGUUCAACGAUUAAAGUCCUACGUGAU
RNAcentral lists this ribosomal RNA (470 nucleotides) under Sus scrofa (pig). RNAcentral describes it as "partial 16S ribosomal RNA". It matches the Rfam family "Bacterial large subunit ribosomal RNA", at positions 1963 to 2604 of the family's 2925-position model. The record is from RNAcentral. Lineage: Eukaryota; Metazoa; Chordata; Mammalia; Artiodactyla; Suidae.